This is a non-coding RNA of Sphaeramia orbicularis (orbiculate cardinalfish), 82 nucleotides long. NCBI's taxonomy places the organism in Eukaryota, Metazoa, Chordata, Actinopteri, Kurtiformes, Apogonidae. The record is from the annotation of a RefSeq genome assembly.
GGUGGUGUGGCUGAGUGGUCUAAGGCGCUGGAUUUAAGCUCCAGUCAUAUCAGUGGUGUGGGUUCAAAUCCCACCACUGCCA